Molecule: non-coding RNA, 771 nt
Filed under: Xenoturbella japonica
Lineage: Eukaryota; Metazoa; Xenacoelomorpha; Xenoturbellidae
Source: RNAcentral
UAAUAGUCUGGAUUCUGCUAUAAAACUCUCUAAUAGUUUGCAAGUAUAUGGACAAACACAAAAUAAAAUAAACCGCCUCCAGUACUAAAUAUUUAGCUAUGGACGACAGUCCGACUAAGCAAAACUAUUGACGCCGUGCCAAUUCCGUGCCAGCCGCAGCGGUUAUACGGAAUAGAAGAAGAGAAGAACACCGGCUAAAAGAGCGGUUAAAAAUAAAAAUACUCAGGGACAGAAAAUUAAAAGUUGUAAAAAACUGAACAAAGAAGAAAUAUCACAACUGAUAUAAAUGACCCGCUAAAAUUUAAAAAUAAACCGGGAUUAGAUACCCCGCUAUAUUUAAAAAUAAACCAUUUGACACCCGGGAAAUAAUAUAUAAAAGUAAAAACCCAAAAAUCUUGGCGGUACUUUAUCCCAUUAGAGGAGCUUGAAAAAUAACUCGAUAAUCCCCGAUUAACCUCACUACCUUUUGCUAAACAGCUUGUAUAUCAUUGUCGAAAGUUGACCUCAACAAAAGAAUUAACUAAAAGGGCCCAACCCUUACGUCAAAUAAAGAUGCAGCCAAUAAGGUAGGUAAAUUUGAGCUACAAUUUUAAAAAUAAAACCGGAUAUAAAAUGAAAAAACAAUAGAAGUUGGAUUUAAAAGUAAUGAGAAUUUAGAAAAUUCUCAUGAAAAGGCUCUAAAGUACGCACAGAUCGCCCGUCACUCUCCAAACCACACAAGGAGAUAAGUCGUAACAAAGUAGGAGUACUGGAAAGUGCCCCUAGCGAAAC